GGGACCGUGGGGUAGUGGUAUCCUAUGCGGAUGGGGUCCGUAUGACCUGAGUUCGACUCUCAGCGGUCCCA
RNAcentral lists this transfer RNA (71 nucleotides) under Halorubrum lacusprofundi. RNAcentral's name for it is "tRNA-Pro". It matches the Rfam family "tRNA". From Rfam's summary of the family: Transfer RNA (tRNA) molecules are approximately 80 nucleotides in length. Their secondary structure includes four short double-helical elements and three loops (D, anti-codon, and T loops). Lineage: Archaea; Methanobacteriati; Methanobacteriota; Halobacteria; Halobacteriales; Haloferacaceae. The record is from RNAcentral. RNAcentral also lists the same sequence under 77 other names.